UACGAAGGGGGCUAGCGUUGUUCGGAAUUACUGGGCGUAAAGCGCACGUAGGCGGAUACUUAAGUCAGGGGUGAAAUCCCGGGGCUCAACCCCGGAACUGCCUUUGAUACUGGGUAUCUCGAGUCCGGAAGAGGUGAGUGGAAUUCCGAGUGUAGAGGUGAAAUUCGUAGAUAUUGGGAAGAACACCGGUGGCGAAGGCGGCCAUCUGGACCGCAACUGACGCUGAGGCGCGAAAGCGUGGGGAGCAAACAGG
RNAcentral lists this ribosomal RNA (253 nucleotides) under uncultured bacterium. RNAcentral's name for it is "partial 16S ribosomal RNA". It matches the Rfam family "Bacterial small subunit ribosomal RNA", at positions 524 to 776 of the family's 1533-position model. The record is from RNAcentral.